This 253-nucleotide ribosomal RNA is filed under the name uncultured bacterium. RNAcentral's name for it is "partial 16S ribosomal RNA". It matches the Rfam family "Bacterial small subunit ribosomal RNA", at positions 524 to 776 of the family's 1533-position model. The record is from RNAcentral.
GACGGAAGGUGCAAGCGUUGCUCGGAAUCGCUGGGCGUAAAGGGUGCGUAGGCGGCUUGGUAGGUCUGGUGUGAAAGCCCCGGGCUCAGCCCGGGAAGGGCACUAGAAACUGCCAAGCUAGAGUGCCGGAGGGGAGAGUGGAAUUCCUGGUGUAGCGGUGAAAUGCGUAGAGAUCAGGAGGAAUACCGGUGGCGAAAGCGACUCUCUGGACGGCAACUGACGCUGAGGCACGAAAGCGUGGGGAGCAAACAGG